Molecule: transfer RNA, 85 nt
Filed under: Acidimicrobiia bacterium
Lineage: Bacteria; Bacillati; Actinomycetota; Acidimicrobiia
Description: tRNA-Ser
Rfam family: tRNA
About the family: Transfer RNA (tRNA) molecules are approximately 80 nucleotides in length. Their secondary structure includes four short double-helical elements and three loops (D, anti-codon, and T loops).
Source: RNAcentral
GGAGGGAUGCCGGAGCGGCCGAACGGGGGAGUCUUGAAAACUCCUGGGCCUCAGGGUCCCGCGGGUUCGAAUCCCGCUCCCUCCG